Molecule: ribosomal RNA, 582 nt
Filed under: Ischnura gemina
Lineage: Eukaryota; Metazoa; Arthropoda; Insecta; Odonata; Coenagrionidae
Description: partial large subunit ribosomal RNA
Rfam family: Eukaryotic large subunit ribosomal RNA
Source: RNAcentral
CUGGGCUCGAGCCUGCCUGGAGCCGCCGCCGGUGCAGAUCUUGGUGGUAGUAGCAAAUACUCCAGCGAGGCCCUGGAGGACUGAUGUGGAGAAGGGUUUCGUGUGAACAGCCGUUGCACACGAGUCAGUCGAUCCUAAGCCCUAGGAGAAAUCCGACGCCUACGGCGACGGGAAAAAUUUUUGAAAUCGACCCGUUGAUCGGGCGAAAGGGAAUCCGGUUCCUAUUCCGGAACCCGGCAGCGGAACCGCUGUUUGUCGGGCCCUCACAAGGGGUUCGUCAGGGUAACCUAAAAGGGCCCGGAGACGCCGUCGGGAGCCCCGGAAAGAGUUUUCUUUUCUGCAUGAGCGUUCGAGUUCCCUGGAAUCCUCUCGCAGGGAGAUAGGGUUUGGAACGCGAAGAGCACCGCAGUUGCGGCGGUGCCCGGGAAUUCCCGACGGACCUUGAAAAUCCGGGAGAGGGCCACGUGGAGGUGUCGCGCCGGCUCGUACCCAUAUCCGCAGCAGGUCUCCAAGGUGAAGAGCCUCUAGUCGAUAGAAUAAUGUAGGUAAGGGAAGUCGGCAAAUCGGAUCCGUAACUUCGGG